This 236-nucleotide ribosomal RNA is filed under the name uncultured bacterium. RNAcentral's name for it is "partial 16S ribosomal RNA". It matches the Rfam family "Bacterial small subunit ribosomal RNA", at positions 100 to 334 of the family's 1533-position model. The record is from RNAcentral.
CCGGCACGGGUGAGUAACACGUAUCCAACCUGCCGUCUACUCUUGGACAGCCUUCUGAAAGGAAGAUUAAUACAAGAUGGCAUCAUGAGUCCGCAUGUUCACAUGAUUAAAGGUAUUCCGGUAGACGAUGGGGAUGCGUUCCAUAGAUAGUAGGCGGGGUAACGGCCCACCUAGUCUUCGAUGGAUAGGGGUUCUGAGAGGAAGGUCCCCCACAUUGGAACUGAGACACGGUCCAA